This 90-nucleotide ribosomal RNA is filed under the name uncultured bacterium. Its description in RNAcentral is "partial 16S ribosomal RNA". It matches the Rfam family "Bacterial small subunit ribosomal RNA", at positions 1393 to 1482 of the family's 1533-position model. The record is from RNAcentral.
CCCGUCACAUCACGAAAGUGGGCCGUACUAGAAGCUGGUGUGCUAACCUCACGGAGGCAGCCAUCCAAGGUACAGCUCAUGAUUGGGGUG